CAGCUGGCCAGGGCGCACUCGUCUGAGGGAACCUGGCCCGUGCAGGAGCCGCUGAUGGAGGAGUACAGCAUCGCCACCCAGGUGUGGAAGCUCAGCUCCUGCGAUAUGUGUGAGCUGGCCCGCAACAGCGUGCUCAUGAGCGGCUUCUCGCACAAGGUAAAGAGCCACUGGCUGGGACCCAACUAUACCAAGGAAGGCCCUGAGGGGAAUGACAUCCGCCGGACCAAUGUGCCAGACAUCCGCGUGGGCUACCGCUACGAGACCCUGUGCCAGGAGCUGGCGCUCAUCACGCAGGCAGUCCAGAGUGAGAUGCUGGAGACCAUUCCAGAGGAGGCGGGUAUCGCCAUGAGCCCAGGGCCUCAGUGAGCCUGGUCCAUGAAGUGCCCACCACAUCGCAGCACUUUUACCACGUUUUGUCCUCAGACCCCUCCCAUGCUGUGUGGUCUCUGCAUGUCUCCAUUCUUCUCUGUCUCUGUCUUGCAUGUCUCCUACCAUGUCACUGUCCCUGGGCCACCCAGUGAAAGCAAAGCCUGGGAAUCUGCUCAUUGUUGUUUGGGCUCAGGUAUUGAGCCUGAUGGCCCAGGUAUUGAGGGCCUCCCCUGCUGGUGGCCCUGUCCUGGGAUCCUCAGAAGCCUGACUGUCCUAUGGGCUUCUCCAGUGUCCACAGGGGCUUGGGAUGGUUGUGGGGGGCUGGCCCCUCUAGCCUGUCCGGUC
This 714-nucleotide small RNA is filed under the name Pan troglodytes (chimpanzee). RNAcentral describes it as "retained intron". Lineage: Eukaryota; Metazoa; Chordata; Mammalia; Primates; Hominidae. The record is from RNAcentral.